GUGCUGGCUUCAGCAGCAUAUAUACUAAAAUUGGAAUGAUACAGAGAAAAUUAUUGUGGCUCCUGCACAAGGAUGACACACAAAUUAAUGACAUGCUCCAUAUUAAA
RNAcentral lists this small nuclear RNA (107 nucleotides) under Castor canadensis (American beaver). Lineage: Eukaryota; Metazoa; Chordata; Mammalia; Rodentia; Castoridae. The record is from RNAcentral.